Long non-coding RNA from Cyprinus carpio (common carp), 465 nucleotides. NCBI's taxonomy places the organism in Eukaryota, Metazoa, Chordata, Actinopteri, Cypriniformes, Cyprinidae. The record is from Ensembl.
AUGCGCAGUAGCCGGACUCGGCGGCUCUUCCGGUUAAAGGAUGACGUCAGGGACACGCGCAAGCAAGACGGUCUUUUCCGGUUCGGAGCGGCGAGGAGUGUGGCAGCUGAGACAUCGUGGCCCCGGAGAUCAGGCUCCUCAGGAGAUGUUGCUCCGUCAGAUGGAAGGUCUCUCUCUGGUUCUGGUUCAGCACUCAGGAGAUGUUUGCCAGCUCCUGCAGAUGCUGGUGAAUGUGGUCAUUAAUGGUGUUUGGGUCAGGAGGAGCGUCGAGCGUCUCAACAGUGCUGUCACCGUGAGUGUUCUUCUUACUGACUGAUUGUGAUUUCUAUGUUUCUGAUCAUAUCUACUCGAUCAGGUAGAGCGAGACUAGAGUCACAUCCUGAUGCUGCUCGUGGUCCUGGUGUGCUAUAGUUCUCGCAGAGUAACUCUCUGCUUAUUCAUUGGCUGCUGCUUUUCAUUGCCCAG